AGUCUCCUCCAGCCUGAACAGACCAAGUGACCUCAGCUGCUUCUCACGUGGCUUCCUCCCAAGGCCUGUCACCAAAUUUGUAGCCCUCCUUUGAGAACUCUGUAAAAGUUCCAUGUCUCCCUUACAUUGUGUCACCCAAAACUGCCCCCAGCACUCGAGGUGAGGCAGCCCCAGUGCAGAGCAGAGUGGGACAAUCCCCUCCCUGGCCUGGCUGGUGAUACUGUGCCUGAUACACCCCAGAACAGGGUUGGCCCUCUGGGCUGCCAGGGCACUGCUGACUUGUGUUCAACUUGCUUUUCCAAGGUGCUGCUUUCCAGACUCUCAUUCCCCAGUCUGUCUGUACAUCCAGGUGUGCCCCUCUCCAGGUGCAGAAUCUGUCACUUGUCUUUGUUAAACUUCAUAUAAUUGGUGACUGCCCAGCCCUAAUUGUCAAGAUAUUUCUGCAGGGCUUCUUUGCCUUCAAGGGAGUGAAUAGUUCCUCCCAAUUCCUGGAAAUAUAUAUAGUAUAGAUAUACUAUAUAUAGUAUUCCUUGUAGAGCUUUCAUAAGUCCCUUUUUUGCAGCUUUCUGAGAAAGUCUCUGGCAUUCAUGCCCUGACUGUCGGUUUCUCUUUGCUAAGUGAACCUGGUUCUCUAUGAAAAAUGCAGCUGAGUCAGUCACAGCCAAGCUCAGGUCAAUAUUUUCCCUCUGGUUCUCUGCUCAUUGGACUUUCAAGCACAACCCAAGGAACAUGUUCUUCUCCCCACUGCCAGGCUGCCUGUGUCAUGUCCUCCUGUGCUGUUGAGCUUUGCUGAUUUUGAAUCAGGUGUCCAGGAUCCCUCCAGAAAGGCAGACCAUGCAAACUCUAGAUCAGAUACUCAGAGAAUAACAAGAGACACCACAGACUGUGCCAGUAGUCCCUGAGCUCAUCUUGCUCCUUGCAAGCAUGAAGAUAGAUUCUCCCUGUGAGAGCAUGGGCUUCUAGAUGCUCUGUGAUGGCUCUGAUAGUAAAUGUCACAGUGAGAGAUAGUUCUGCAGGAACCACCAGAAGAGAUUGCUCCAGCUGCAGUAAUAAAGAUCAGAAGAAGUGUGAUGGCUGGCUCUUGAACUGGAUUAUUUUUCUCAUUCCUUCUGGAUUACUUGUCCUCGCAGUGGCCAACAAAAAGCUAACUUACAGCAUGUAAGGAGUAUCUCACCAAUGAGCAAAACAUCUUUAAAUAUCCUGAAACUCUGGUGGGAGACUGUUUGCAAGAAGAAACUAAACACGAGAAGAUGUCCAGGAAGGUUCCUGUAUGUACACAGCACAACAUGUGAGAGGGACAGGACAGCAUGUUGGGACAGUCACAGUGCCUGGCAGAUCAUGCUCGGUGCUGGCCAGGAAGCUGAAGCACAUCAAACAAUACUGGACUCUCUCAGGAAGUCUGUGAUUGCACAUCAUUUACACUGUCUUUUAAAUAGACCAUCAUUUAAACUGCCUCAGAUAUAAUGCAAGAAUUCAAAACACCAGCCCAGGGAUGGUAUCACUGUUGAAACAGCAUCUGAGUCCUCUUGACUGUGAUUACACUUGGUUGUUUUGGCUAGAUCUUAUUUCCACUCCUAUCAUCAGCAGGAGGUUUCUAUCUUGCCCAUCCCAAGUGACCAAGAGAAGUGUCAACACCUCUAAGAUGAAGGACAAGUCUGCUGCCUGCUCUGCUGCCAGCACAGCCUGCUGUUAUAGCAUAAAGGAAUAGGCACCUCAGAAAGGAGGUGCUGAUCAGCAAAAUCUGCACUCCUUUCUCCCAACACACUUAGGAGCCAAAGCAAAAUAUAAGCU
Passer domesticus (house sparrow) is the source of this 1791-nucleotide long non-coding RNA. RefSeq lists it as uncharacterized. NCBI's taxonomy places the organism in Eukaryota, Metazoa, Chordata, Aves, Passeriformes, Passeridae. The transcript is spliced from 4 exons. The record is from RefSeq and is a predicted model, not a curated record.